Molecule: non-coding RNA, 2685 nt
Organism: Lolium perenne
Lineage: Eukaryota; Viridiplantae; Streptophyta; Magnoliopsida; Poales; Poaceae
Source: RefSeq, a predicted model, not a curated record
ACCAAACCGGAUGAAGUCUUCCGCGUUGUCCGUCCCUCGUCGUCUGUGGACAGAGUGAAGCGAUGAGGAGUGGUGGUUGGGUGCAGCCGUGGAGAGGUCAGAGGUCCGUCAUUCCCUACCUCGUUGUCGGCCGAGGGGGCAGAGAAGCCUGGAUCCUCGCGGGAGAGGAGGGAGCUCAGGGAUGGUCCGAUGCGGAAAAUUAAUGGAGAGAGAGGGGGAAAGUAGGCAGAUGGGCUGGGGUGGGGUGGGAUCCUCGCGGGAGAAUGCUAUUGCUAGCCAUGACGAAAAAAUGUAGAAUCUGAAGGAGCAAGCUAUUGGAUGUCGACUCGGCGGCGGGGGACACUGGAUCGACCACCGCCGGCGCCGGGAUCGUUUGGCGGCAGGCAAGAUCCGAGGUCGACGCGGCUUGCAACACAGAGGACAAGACGCUGCUGCGUGUGGCAGCUGAAAUCUUCAGUAAAAAGAAGGGAUGGGCGCCGAUGGUGUUUAGACUUGAAGGUUAAAUGACGAGAAAAAGAAAAGAGAAGAGAUGAUAAAACUUGAGAUGAAAGAGUAAUGGUAGGAAUAACAAAAAAGUAGACACUAGGCCAAGCUUGAUGUUCUGUCUUGGAAUAGAGUUGGGUUAUGUAUUUGGUCUUUGGGUACCUGUUUUGUAAUGUUCCUGGAAGUUGGAAAAGGAGUUUGUAGUAGAAGGUCUGUUUUCUAUCCCCUGAGAAGCAAAGGUUCUGAAGUUUGUUAAUCCGGUAGGUGCUCUGUGGGUGAAUUUCUGGGAGGUUGGAACUUCAAACGUGGUUGUUUAUCUGGUUUCAUUUUCCAUUAAUGAAAUCGGGGACUAUGUCUUUAAUUCGAAAAAAUCAAGCAUCGAAGCCAAACUAGGCACUCGUUCUCUCCCCUAAGCACCCGGUGUUUCCAGCGUGGCAAAAUAAACCCGGUUUUCUUCUUACUGGGAGGGCUGUGCCGGCGGUGUUCAGGACAUCUCCACCUCACCAAGCUGUUGCCCCUGGUCAUCUUCUUCUCAAACCUUUUCAGCAUGCCUGCAACGAACAGGCAGAGAAGGUUAUCGCUGGCCAUCUCAGGUACACAAAAAUUCUAAACUUAAGUUGGUGUUUUAUUCGAGAUUAGAUUCUUACGUUGAUUAGCUUAAGGCUAAUAAUGUCUAACAUAUACUACAGUUUUAAUUUAUUUUCUAUGGCCACACAAUUUGAUGUUUGCUGAGAAAAUUAGCUCCAGGUAAAGAAGAAACAAAAAAAAGGCUUUGCGCCAUAUUAUUUGUUGAGAUAACAGAAUUGAAGAUCAUAUCAGUUUCCAAAGCUAGUUUUCGAAGGAAAUUUGUCGAGUCUCCCACUAUGUUCUUGACAUUAUAUGAGGCAUGCCGUCUUCUUGCGCAUGAUAAUCAAUCGUCAACCUUUUUUCGAGGUAGCAAUUGAACCAAAUAUAGACAAUCUUUCUGAAAAUAUUCAUCAUUGUAUUAUUUUACAUGAUUACAAAUUACAAUGGCCCCUUUUCUGUUAAUUACAGACUGUACAAAAUUGAACUAACUGACCUAAGAAAACUGUUAGCUUCCUAAGAGUGAAACUACUUAUACUGAUCAGUAUAUUGUCUCCUCAUUUACUUUCGCCCAUGCCGGAAUGCCAUCACUUUGCAGCAAGCUGAAGCAAAGCUGACUCUGUUUUGAGGCGGCUUCUAUCAUCUUCUUUGGAAGUUAAAGACUUUGAUGGAGAAGGCAAAGACAAAAGCAAAGAGAACGGUGAAGCCUACAACACCAAUAGCCAUAAAACCUACGUAAUCGUGCCUGAAUCCAAAGAAUCUGUUGAUGAAAGCAUCCACCGCUUCUCCAUCCUCCAGCCUAACAUCUGCUAUAUCUCCAUACUGUGAAGCGACAAGUCCGUACAGAGUCCAUGCCACCGGACAUGCCCAGGAGUACCAUCUCCACCAUAUUGGUAUCCUCUGCAAGCCAGCCAUAUAAUUUAGCAUUGGUGGUAUGGAGGAAAUGUAGAGUCUGUUUCAUAGUAGAAAUGAACUAGUCGUGGACACUUACUGGUCGGGGGACAAGGAAGCCAGCAAAGAUAUUCCAUACUGCAUAGAAUGCAGUUGCAACUAUGGCAGCAAUGUCACUGUUUGGUGUCAUGGCGACUGCCAUCAUGCCAUAAAACGUGAAGUACAGGAAGGUGAAGAACAUGAAGAACAUGUACCAAAAGAAUUUCAUAAAUGCCCAGUCUAAACCAAUCAAGCUGUAGACAAUCAGACCAUACACAAGGGUCUGAAGGAAGACAUGUGGGAUCUCAAUGAAAACCUGUUGAAUGGUUAACAUGGUUGGAACUUAGACAUGAAUUGGAGGAAGAAACCUGCAAUCUUUUAUAUUAAAAUGUUGUGGCGACUAUUACCUGUGCAAAAGCAUAGGGUAGAGCAGAGUACAUCCCGGCAGCCUUUUCUCGGUAGAAGACUGUCCUUUCGACGUCUACAAUCGGUUGAACGCAUUGUCCAUUCUGAAUUCCAAUGAAAAUGACUGCUGCAUACAUGGAACCCAGAGAGUUGAACAGGAAGAUAGUGCCGAAGAUGAGGGCAAUAACCAUCGUGAAGAAUAUUCUAGUCGCAGUGUAUGAUGGAUUUCUCCAGUAUGACUUGUGCUGCUUCCACAGGCAAGCAAUACAUUGUGUGAAGAAGGACUGUGCGUACUGGUUUGGG